This 374-nucleotide ribosomal RNA is filed under the name uncultured organism. RNAcentral describes it as "partial 16S ribosomal RNA". It matches the Rfam family "Bacterial small subunit ribosomal RNA", at positions 527 to 896 of the family's 1533-position model. The record is from RNAcentral.
GUAGGUGGCAAGCGUUGUCCGGAAUUAUUGGGCGUAAAGCGCGCGCAGGCGGUUCUUUAAGUCUGAUGUGAAAGCCCACGGCUCAACCGUGGAGGGUCAUUGGAAACUGGAGAACUUGAGUACAGAAGAGGAAAGCGGAAUUCCACGUGUAGCGGUGAAAUGCGUAGAGAUGUGGAGGAACACCAGUGGCGAAGGCGGCUUUCUGGUCUGUAACUGACGCUGAGGCGCGAAAGCGUGGGGAGCAAACCGGGAUUAGAUACCCUGGCAGUCCACGCCGUAAACGAUGAGUGCUAAGUGUUAGGGGGGUUUCCGCCCCCUUAGUGCUGCAGCUAACGCAUUAAGCACUCCGCCUGGGGAGUACGGCCGCAAGGCUG